RNAcentral lists this ribosomal RNA (786 nucleotides) under uncultured organism. RNAcentral's name for it is "bacterial SSU rRNA". It matches the Rfam family "Bacterial small subunit ribosomal RNA", at positions 694 to 1510 of the family's 1533-position model. The record is from RNAcentral.
AUAUUCGGAGGAACAACAGUGGCGAAGGCGGCUCAUUGGCUCGAUAGUGACGGUGAGGUGCGAUAGUGUGUGCAGCAAACAGGAUCAGAUACCAUGGUAGUCCAUGCCGUUAUCGACGAAUGCCAGUCGUCAGCGGGCUAUUCCAUUGGUGUCACACAUAAUGGAUUCAGCAAUCCUCCUGGGGAGUACGGGGGCAAGGUUGAAACUCAAAGGAAUUGACGGGGGCCCGCACAAGCGGUGGAGCAUGUGGUUUAAUUUGAAGCAACGCGCAGAACCUUACCAACCCUUGACAUCCUGUGACCGUUCCAGAGAUGGUUCUUCCCAUCGGGGCACAGUGACAGGUUCUGCAUGGCAGUUGUCAGCUAAUGUGGUGAGAUGUUUGGUUAAGUCCGGCAACGAGCGCAACCCACACCUUUAGUUGCCAAUUAUGGAACUCUAGGGGAACUGCCCGUGAUAAGCGGGAGGAAGGUGUGGAUGACGUCAAGUCCUCUUGGCCCUCCCGGGUUGGUGUACACACGUGCUACAAUGGCAUCUACAGUGGGGUAAUCCCCAAAAGAGGUCUCAGUUCAGAUCGUCCUCUGCAACUUGAGGGCAUGAAGUAGGAAUCGCUAGUAAUCGCGUAACAGCAUGACGCGGUGAAUACGUUCCCGGGCGUUGUACACCCCGCCCGUCACACCAUGGGAGUUGGGUUUACCAGAAGACGGUGCGCCAACCUUUCCAGGAGGCAGCUGCCCACGGUAAGCUCAGUGACUGGGGUGAAGUCGUAACAAGGUAACCAAGGGCGAA